CUUGAGAACUAUUAUUAAUGUUCUGACUCACAAUCAAAGGCCACAAAGAAUAACAGCUCCAAUUCUGAAUAACAGUUAAAAUCCUAGAACAGGGGUAAAGGACGAAGCAAAUGAAUGGAAUUUUCUAAACAACCCAAAAGGGGAAAGAGAGAGGGAGAACCUGGAGAAUCCUGUCAGUAGUAGAAAUCAGAAAAUAACCGGCAUUCAUCAGAUUUAAUUUCUGCAAACCAACCAGUGUCCUGGAAAUCAGACAUUUACUCAGCAACUCUGUGGGUGACAUUGCUGUGACAGGCUGACAUUGCUGUGGGCAGGAACUAGAGGGAGAACAAUCUAAGAGACCUGAUUCUCAUCAGAAAGAGAAUCUGCUAUAAUCCUCAUCUUGAGAAUGUAUAAUCUCUAAUCCUCAUCUUAGACUCACCUCUACCUGAUGACUUACCGGUGAUAUGCCUGCUUCCACUUCGCCUUCAGCCAUGAUUGCAAGUUUCCUGAUGCUUCCCCAGAAGCCAGGUAGAUGCUAGCAUUAUGUUUCCUGUACAACCUGCGAAACUGUGAGUCAAUUUAACUCCUCUUCUUUACAAAUUACUUAGUCUCAAGUGUUUAUAGCAAUGCAAGAAUGGACUAAUACAGACAGUAAUAUCUAGUACUAGGUAAGUAGUUUGUUAUAACUGUAUUGUUUAAGGAAGAAUGACAAGAAACCAAUCUAUACAUGUUCAGUACAGAUGCAAUUUUUAAAAAAUAUUUUUGAUCCACCAUUGGUUGAAUCUGUGAAUGUAGAACCCACAGAUAUGGAGGGCCUACUCCGUAUGUAUUGCAUAUGAUACACUUUUAUACAGCUGGUAGUGCAAUAGGUUUAACAUCAUCAUCAUGACAAACAGGUGAGUAAUGUGUUGUGCUAUGAUAUUAUCAUGGCUACAAAGUCACUAGGCAAUAGGAAUUUUUCAUCUCCAUUAUAAUCUAAUGGGCCCACUGUCAUAUAUGUGUUAGUCAUUGACCUAAAUCUUAUCAUGUGGCACGUGACUGUAUUCAAUUAUAAUAGCUUUUUGGACAUUUCUUUUUUCUGACUUUGGGAUUAGUAUUUUA
Non-coding RNA from Macaca mulatta (Rhesus monkey), 1080 nucleotides. NCBI's taxonomy places the organism in Eukaryota, Metazoa, Chordata, Mammalia, Primates, Cercopithecidae. The record is from RefSeq and is a predicted model, not a curated record.